Molecule: ribosomal RNA, 451 nt
Filed under: uncultured archaeon
Lineage: Archaea
Description: bacterial SSU rRNA
Rfam family: Archaeal small subunit ribosomal RNA
Source: RNAcentral
CCGGUUGAUCCUGCCGNAGGUUACUGCUAUCGGUGUUCGCNUAAGCCAUGCGAGUCAUAUGUUCUUCGUGAACAUGGCGUACUGCUCAGUAACACGUGGAUAACCUGCCCUUGGGUCCGGCAUAACCCCGGGAAACUGGGGAUAAUACCGGAUAACGCACAUAUGCUGGAAUGCUUUAUGCGUAAAACGGAUUCGUCUGCCCAAGGAUGGGUCUGCGGCCUAUCAGGUAGUAGUGGGUGUAAUGUACCUACUAGCCGACAACGGGUACGGGUUGUGAGAGCAAGAGCCCGGAGAUGGAUUCUGAGACAUGAAUCCAGGCCCUACGGGGCGCAGCAGGCGCGAAAACUUUACAAUGCGGGAAACCGUGAUAAGGGGACACCGAGUGCCAGCAUCAUAUGCUGGCUGUCCGGGUGUGUAAAAUACACCUGUUAGCAAGGGCCGGGCAAGNGCG